This 493-nucleotide ribosomal RNA is filed under the name uncultured Micrococcineae bacterium. RNAcentral describes it as "bacterial SSU rRNA". It matches the Rfam family "Bacterial small subunit ribosomal RNA", at positions 67 to 559 of the family's 1533-position model. The record is from RNAcentral. Lineage: Bacteria; Bacillati; Actinomycetota; Actinomycetes; Micrococcales.
CGGUGAUGAGGGGCUUGCCCUUCUGAUCAGUGGCGAACGGGUGAGAACACGUGAGUAACCUGCCCUUCACUCUGGGAUAACGCUGGGAAACUGGUGCUAAUACUGGAUAUGACCUGCUCGGGCAUCCGAUGUGGGUGGAAAGAUUUAUUGGUGGGGGAUGGACUCGCGGCCUAUCAGCUUGUUGGUGAGGUAAUGGCUCACCAAGGCGACGACGGGUAGCCGGCCUGAGAGGGCGAUCGGCCACACUGGGACUGAGACACGGCCCAGACUCCUACGGGAGGCAGCAGUGGGGAAUAUUGCACAAUGGGCGAAAGCCUGAUGCAGCGACGCCGCGUGAGGGAUGAAGGCCUUCGGGUUGUAAACCUCUUUCAGCAGGGAAGAAGCGCCUGGGUUUUCCCGGGUGUGACGGUACCUGCAGAAGAAGCACCGGCUAACUACGUGCCAGCAGCCGCGGUAAUACGUAGGGUGCAAGCGUUGUCCGGAAUUAUUGGGC